RNAcentral lists this non-coding RNA (21 nucleotides) under Caenorhabditis elegans. Lineage: Eukaryota; Metazoa; Nematoda; Chromadorea; Rhabditida; Rhabditidae. The record is from RNAcentral.
UGCACAUCCCAUUCUAACUUU